CACUGUUUCGGCUAGGGGUCCAUCCCGGAUUACCAACCCGAUGCAAACUACGAAUACCAAAGAGUGAUACUCAGGAGACACACGGCGGGUGCUAACGUUCGUCGUGGAGAGGGAAACAACCCAGACCGCCAGCUAAGGUCCCAAAGUCUAUAUUAAGUGGGAAACGAAGUGGGAAGGCUUAGACAGCUAGGAUGUUGGCUUAGAAGCAGCCAUCAUUUAAAGAAAGCGUAAUAGCUCACUAGUCGAGUCGGCCUGCGCGGAAGAUGUAACGGGGCUGAAAUAUAGCACCGAAGCUGCGGCAUCAGACGAAAGUCUGUUGGGUAGGGGAGCGUUGUGUAAGCGGAUGAAGGUUAAUCGAGAGGUUAGCUGGACGUAUCACAAGUGCGAAUGCUGACAUAAGUAACGAUAAAACGAGUGAAAAACUCGUUCGCCGGAAGACCAAGGGUUCCUGUCCAACGUUAAUCGGGGCAGGGUGAGUCGGCCCCUAAGGCGAGGCUGAAAAGCGUAGUCGAUGGGAAACAGGUUAAUAUUCCUGUACUUGGUAAAGCUGCGAUGUGGGGACGGAGUAGGUUAGGUUAGCGUGCUGUUGGAUAUGCACGUUUAAGUUGGUAGGUGGGAAGUUUAGGCAAAUCCGGACUUCCUUAACACUGAGAGAUGAUGACGAGGCUCUACGGAGCUGAAGUAACUGAUACCACACUUCCAGGAAAAGCCACUAAGCGACAGGUUUUACUAAACCGUACUGAAAACCGACACAGGUGGUCAGGUAGAGAAUACUCAGGCGCUUGAGAGAACUCGGGUGAAGGAACUAGGCAAAAUAGCACCGUAACUUCGGGAGAAGGUGCGCCGGCGUAGAUUGUAAGGGCUAGCCCCUGAAGGUUGAACCGGUCGAAGAUACCAGCUGGCUGCAACUGUUUAUUAAAAACACAGCACUCUGCAAACACGAAAGUGGAGGUAUAGGGUGUGAUGCCUGCCCGGUGCUGGAAGGUUAAUUGAUGGUGUAAUCGAAAGAGAAGCACCUGAUCGAAGCCCCAGUAAACGGCGGCCGUAACUAUAACGGUCCUAAGGUAGCGAAAUUCCUUGUCGGGUAAGUUCCGACCUGCACG
This 1103-nucleotide ribosomal RNA is filed under the name Haemophilus influenzae. RNAcentral describes it as "bacterial LSU rRNA". It matches the Rfam family "Bacterial large subunit ribosomal RNA", at positions 908 to 1994 of the family's 2925-position model. Lineage: Bacteria; Pseudomonadati; Pseudomonadota; Gammaproteobacteria; Pasteurellales; Pasteurellaceae. The record is from RNAcentral.